This 448-nucleotide ribosomal RNA is filed under the name uncultured bacterium. RNAcentral describes it as "bacterial SSU rRNA". It matches the Rfam family "Bacterial small subunit ribosomal RNA", at positions 328 to 793 of the family's 1533-position model. The record is from RNAcentral.
ACCCCAGACUCCUACGGGAGGCAGCAGUGGGGAAUAUUGGACAAUGGGGGGAACCCUGAUCCAGCGACGCCGCGUGGGUGUAGGAGCGUUUCGGCGCGUAAAGCCCUAUCGGCAGGGAAGAAAAUGACGGUACCUGACUAAGAAGCCCCGGCUAACUACGUGCCAGCAGCCGCGGGAAUACGUAGGGGGCAAGCGUUAUCCGGAUUUACUGGGUGUAAAGGGAGCGUAGACGGAAUUGCAAGUCUGAUGUGAAAAUCCGGGGCCCAACCCCGGAACUGCAUUGGAAACUGUAUUUCUAGAGUGUCGGAGAGGCAAGUGGAAUUCCUGGUGUAGCGGUGAAAUGCGUAGAUAUCAGGAGGAACACCAGUGGCGAAGGCGGCUUGCUGGACGAUGACUGACGUUGAGGCUCGAAAGCGUGGGGAGCAAACAGGAUUAGAUACCCUGGUAC